CUGAAUUAUCUUUAGCAAUUAUCUCUCAAUGAUCUGAAGCCUUCAAUUUGGGUUCUUCAUCUAUCCUAGUACUUUCAUAUAGAAUCGAUUCAUCCUUCACUAGAAUGGAAUCAAAUUUCUCUUCCACAGGAUAUGCUGGAAUGUACCGUGGUUGAACACAUUGGCUUUCAAUCCUAAACACAAGUUUUUCAACCCGUUCCGCUAUCAAAGUUGAAGAUGUUGCACACUGCUCCAAAAGUAGCCUUAGUGUAGCGGUUGCUUUCUCUGCAGCUG
RNAcentral lists this long non-coding RNA (273 nucleotides) under Phoenix dactylifera (date palm). RNAcentral's name for it is "long non-coding RNA (PDAC_LNC005428)". Lineage: Eukaryota; Viridiplantae; Streptophyta; Magnoliopsida; Arecales; Arecaceae. The record is from RNAcentral.